Molecule: long non-coding RNA, 106 nt
Organism: Amblyraja radiata (thorny skate)
Lineage: Eukaryota; Metazoa; Chordata; Chondrichthyes; Rajiformes; Rajidae
Exons: 3
Source: RefSeq, a predicted model, not a curated record
ACCCGAAAGGUCGCCAAUUCCUUCUCUCCAGAGAUGCUGCCUUACCCGCUGAGUUACUUCAGCAGUUUUUGUCUACUUAUUUUAGAUGAGGGUAUCUGCCUCCCCC